Molecule: unclassified non-coding RNA, 410 nt
Filed under: soil metagenome
Description: partial contains 5.8S ribosomal RNA, internal transcribed spacer 2, and large subunit ribosomal RNA
Rfam family: 5.8S ribosomal RNA (bases 1-121)
Source: RNAcentral
GAUGAAGAACGCAGCCAAAUGCGAUAAGUAGUGUGAAUUGCAGAAGUACCGUGAAUCAUCGAAUCUUUGAACGCAAAUUGCACUCUCUGGUAUUCCGGGGAGUAUGCCUGUUUGAGGGUCGCUUAACAAACCAUCGAUUUCGUUGCUUUUUUUUUAAAAAGUGAUGUUUAUCGGAUUUGAGCCGUCUUUUUUUUUUAUAUUUAAGUGGCUUAAAAUUGAUUUUUUUGGUACGAUCGAAGCGUAUUUUUAUGAUCAAUUUUUGGUUAAAGAAACGCACACGUACCGUUAUUUAUAUGAUGUAAUACGUUUGACUAUUGGAUUUAGUUCAUUCGUAUACGAUAUUUUUCAAUAUUUGACCUCAAAUCAGGUAAGAACACCCGCUGAACUUAAGCAUAUCAAUAAGCGGAGGA